RNAcentral lists this ribosomal RNA (301 nucleotides) under uncultured bacterium. RNAcentral describes it as "partial 16S ribosomal RNA". It matches the Rfam family "Bacterial small subunit ribosomal RNA", at positions 509 to 807 of the family's 1533-position model. The record is from RNAcentral.
CAGUAGCCGCGGUAAAACGUAGGUGGCAAGCGUUGUCCGGAAUUAUUGGGCGUAAAGGGCUCGCAGGCGGUUUCUUAAGUCUGAUGUGAAAGCCCCCGGCUCAACCGGGGAGGGUCAUUGGAAACUGGGAAACUUGAGUGCAGAAGAGGAGAGUGGAAUUCCACGUGUAACGGUGAAAUGCGUAGAGAUGUGGAGGAACACCAGUGGCGAAGGCGACUCUCUGGUCUGUAACUGACGCUGAGGAGCGAAAGCGUGGGGAGCGAACAGGAUUAGAUACCCCCGUAGUCCCUGUCUCUUAUAC